RNAcentral lists this microRNA (22 nucleotides) under Gossypium raimondii (Peruvian cotton). RNAcentral describes it as "gra-miR8722". The record is from miRBase by way of RNAcentral. Lineage: Eukaryota; Viridiplantae; Streptophyta; Magnoliopsida; Malvales; Malvaceae.
CAUGUUUUUCCUGUUCAUCUUC